Molecule: ribosomal RNA, 421 nt
Filed under: uncultured bacterium
Lineage: Bacteria
Description: bacterial SSU rRNA
Rfam family: Bacterial small subunit ribosomal RNA
Source: RNAcentral
UAAGGAAUAUUGGUCAAUGGACGCAAGUCUGAACCAGCCAUGCCGCGUGAAGGAUGAAGGUCCUCUGGAUUGUAAACUUCUUUUAUCUGGGACGAAAACGGGAUUUUUAUCUCAAUUGACGGUACCAGAGGAAUAAGCACCGGCUAACUCCGUGCCAGCAGCCGCGGUAAUACGGAGGGUGCGAGCGUUAUCCGGAUUUACUGGGUUUAAAGGGUGCGUAGGUGGGCUUAUAAGUCAGUGGUGAAAUCUCCGAGCUUAACUUGGAAACUGCCGUUGAUACUAUAGGUCUUGAAUUAUCUGGAGGUAAGCGGAAUAUGUCAUGUAGCGGUGAAAUGCUUAGAUAUGACAUAGAACACCAAUUGCGAAGGCAGCUUACUACAUAUAAAUUGACGCUGAGGCACGAAAGCUUGGGGAUCAAACA